Carassius auratus (goldfish) is the source of this 433-nucleotide long non-coding RNA. RefSeq lists it as uncharacterized. Lineage: Eukaryota; Metazoa; Chordata; Actinopteri; Cypriniformes; Cyprinidae. The transcript is spliced from 2 exons. The record is from RefSeq and is a predicted model, not a curated record.
UGUGUGUGUGUGUGUGUGUGUGUGUGGAGAUCCAGAGGCAGAUUGAAGGAGCAUGACAGAGGCGGAAACGACAGGAAACUCACAGCAAAAAACCAAAGAAAAGCUUAAAAUCAGGGUUUUGGAUUGAGUGAGGAGGGAGAGAUGUGUGUCACAGAGAGAGAGCAGAGCUGAGGACGAGACGCAGAGAGAAAGAAGAGAAGAGGAAGAGGAGGAGGCUGGGGUAAACAGAAGCAGAAAUGGGCUCAGCAGCAGAACAAACUCGAGUCCGGAGCCGAGGGUCAGCGUCACAACACUAACUACACACUAACUCGUCAGCAUCUAAGCCCCGCCCACAACACAUCAAUGUGUGAAUAUUGUGUGUUUCCAGCACAACUUAUCUGAUCAAAGAUGGAAAAAUGAUUCAUGAUUCAAAUAAAAUGAAAGUUUUUGUCAA